GCGUUGUCCGGAAUCAUUGGGCGUAAAGGGUACGUAGGCGGGUAAGCAAGUUAGAAGUGAAAUCCUAUAGCUCAACUAUAGUAAGCUUUAAAACUGUUUAUCUUGAGGUAUGGAAGGGAAAGUGGAAUUCCUAGUGUAGCGGUGAAAUGCGCAGAUAUUAGGAGGAAUACCGGUGGCGAAGGCGACUUUCUGGCCAUAACCUGACGCUGAGGUACGAAAGCGUGGGUAGUAAACAGGAUUAGAUACCCUGGUAGUCAAGGGCG
RNAcentral lists this ribosomal RNA (263 nucleotides) under uncultured Eubacteriales bacterium. Its description in RNAcentral is "uncultured Clostridiales bacterium partial 16S ribosomal RNA". It matches the Rfam family "Bacterial small subunit ribosomal RNA", at positions 538 to 802 of the family's 1533-position model. The record is from RNAcentral. Lineage: Bacteria; Bacillati; Bacillota; Clostridia; Eubacteriales.